GCCGGGAUAGCUCAGUUGGUAGAGCAGGGGACUGAAAACCCUCGUGUCACCAUUC
RNAcentral lists this transfer RNA (55 nucleotides) under Frullania sp. A BlS-2016. RNAcentral's name for it is "partial tRNA-Phe". The record is from RNAcentral. Lineage: Eukaryota; Viridiplantae; Streptophyta; Jungermanniopsida; Porellales; Frullaniaceae.